Perca fluviatilis (European perch) is the source of this 418-nucleotide long non-coding RNA. RefSeq lists it as uncharacterized. The record is from RefSeq and is a predicted model, not a curated record. The transcript has 2 exons. Lineage: Eukaryota; Metazoa; Chordata; Actinopteri; Perciformes; Percidae.
UAUGUGCUGUGUUUAUGAUGCAUAAUUAAUGCAAAAUUCAUAGUAAAUUUAUAGUUUAUAUUCAGUCUCAUACAGUAAAUAAAUAGGAAAUGUGAAAUGUAAAGGUUAAAAUGAAUGUGAUGUAAUAGUUAGAUUUAAGUCCGUUGUGUUUUGUUUCUCUCGGAACUAAAGUUCUCUGUUUUGGUUUCCGCUGCUGCGGAAUUUGUCAAUGGACAAAAGGAAACCUAAGGUGUGCACGUUACGGCGCUCUGCUAAUUAAGUUGGAGUUUCACUGUUGUCGGAGGUCAAAACGAACUGUGAAGGAUUUUCCUAGGAUUUAAGAACCUCUUUUCAGGACAAGCAGCCAACGAGUUCUCACGGCGUGAUGUGGAUGCAUUAAGGACAGAAGAGCAAAGCAAUAAACGCCCGUUCCAAAGAA